CCCCUCCCUUGCCACUAGAUCGGGGCCGGCACGCCUCGACGUCGUUGCCCACAACCUAUUCUUCCUCGGCGUCGACCGCCCUUAAUCCCGUCGAUUCGCUGCCGCCAUUGCCUUGUCUUUCCUCCCUGGGCCUUCCCAGCAUCGCAGGUGAGCGGCCGCUACUCCACUCUCUCUACACAUCUUCCCGUAGCCAUAACCAUCGCUGUCGCCGAAGCCGAAGCCUGCUUCCACUGCUAUGCUCGCCACCGUUGCUACAACGAAGUUCCACUGCACUACUCGCCGUAGUUGCUACAACCGUCGGCGUGCUCAGCUGAGCAUGGGAGCAUGCUCAGCACGUCCCUAGGCGGCCAACGUGCACACGCAUGCCCUUCCCCGUGGCCCGUAGCCCCGCUACCAGCGCCGCCGAACGCCGCCGCCCGCUUAGCUCAUCGUUGUCCUAGAUCCUGGCCGCCUCCGGCCAAGCCACCCCGACAUUCAACACGCGGCUCUGCCCACGCUCGAUCUCGCAUGGCCACAACCGAUUUAGCCCCCUGUGUCGAUUUUCCGGCGACGCCGUGAGUCGAGGUCGCCAGCGCGGUUCCAGCGCCGCCCACUCACAUGGUCGGCCAGGUGGAACCUCCGGGUCACUGGCGAGGGGCCCCCGCUAGCCCAGUUGACGAGUUGACGAGGUCAACUAGCUCACUGGGCAGCCCUAGUCGCUGCCAUGUGGGGCAGCCCCCCUAGGCCACUCACAUGUGGGCCCAAGGCCAUUAACUUUAAGUAUGCGGUUAGUUUUAAUAAAAUGAUUAAAUUUAAAUUAAUAGGUCACUAAUAUGUUGGACCCACACUGCUAAUUAACCAUAUUUAGAAUUAAUAAAACCCUGUUUAACCAUAAGCCUAUGACAGGUGGGGCCCAUUGUCAGGUUUGACUAAUCAGCCCCACUGUUGAUUGCGGACACCAGCAUGAUGUCAUACUAACAUCACAAAUGCAUUUUUCAAAUUAUUAUAACUCUAUUAAUUUCAGAACAAUAUUAAAACUUUGAAAAUUAAUAUAAAUUAAUACGUAAGUCACAUGAAAAUAAUUUAUAUAUGAAAAAUGACCAAAAAAAUCCCAUGAAUCUGAUUACUCUAUUCGUUCAUGUGUCACAUACUCCUAGCAUGAUGAACAUGGAACUUUCCUCCCCAUUUCAUUUGUCCGGUAGUAGCCACAGACCCGGGAAAUAUCGUUUGAUAUUUUCCCGAUCCGUCUAUGAUGUAUAAUACCGCGUUAGCUCAUGUCUAGCAUUGCAUAUUGCCAUGUCAUGCAUCGUGAUGCAUUUCUCUGCUUUAUAUUUAUUGUUUCUUCGCCCUCUUCUCUCCGGUAGACGCUGACGCUGAUGUUGAUGCUGUUGGCGGGUAUGACUACCCUCUUCAUGACUAGCCCUU
This 1404-nucleotide long non-coding RNA is filed under the name Hordeum vulgare. Its description in RNAcentral is "long non-coding RNA (HVUL_LNC006884)". Lineage: Eukaryota; Viridiplantae; Streptophyta; Magnoliopsida; Poales; Poaceae. The record is from RNAcentral.